CCUACGGGAGGCAGCAGUGAGGAAUAUUGGUCAAUGGCCGGAAGGCUGAACCAGCCAAGCCGCGUGAGGGAGGAAGGCGCUGGGCGUUGCAAACUUCUUUUGCCGGGGGACAAAAAGCCGGACUCGUCCGGUCCUGAGGGUACCCGGAGAAAAAGCAUCGGCUAACUCCGUGCCAGCAGCCGCGCUAGUAGGUAGGAUGCGAGCGUUAUCCGGAUUCGUGGGGGUUAAAGGCUGCGAAGGGGGGCCGUUAACUCGGUGGUGAAAUCGCGGGGCUAAACCCCGCCGAGCCUUCGAAACUGGGUGGCUUGAGUGCGGCAGAGGGAUGCGGAAUGCGUGGUGUAGCGGUGAAAUGCGUAGAGAUCGCGCAGAACCCCGAUUGCGAAGGCAGCGUGCCGGG
Molecule: ribosomal RNA, 397 nt
Filed under: uncultured bacterium
Lineage: Bacteria
Description: partial 16S ribosomal RNA
Rfam family: Bacterial small subunit ribosomal RNA
Source: RNAcentral